CAGAGAUAAGAAUAAUGUCAAGGUUUGCAGGUGCAACGCCAUACGAAUAACAGCACAAAAACAACAGCAGGAGAAAGCUUAAAAAUAAUGAAGCAGCUUUGGUGAAAGUUUACAGACCUGCAAGCAGAAGAAGACAGGCUACAGUACUGCAGAGAAAAGGACCUGAGCAAUACAAGGUGAAGCCAUUCUGCAACAGCUUGGUGUCUGCUCUUCUCUCUCCACUUCAGCUGUGUUCUCACAUGCUGCAGCACCUCUGCAAGAAACAGAACCUCAACUCCUGCCUUGAUGCCUUGCAGCGCUGUCACCACCGUUUGUGUCUCCAAAGUCACAUCUGUGCCCUCACUCAGUGUGCCUCUUCUGAAACCGGAAAACUGCUGCUGUCUCCAUCUCUUCUGUCUGCCAGCUGCUCAAGCUCAGCUGAGAAGUAGAGUUUUCUUUGGUUUGAAGUGCUCUGUGAUCUGAAAGCAAAGCAUGCAUGGGACUGCUUACC
RNAcentral lists this long non-coding RNA (490 nucleotides) under Zonotrichia albicollis (white-throated sparrow). Its description in RNAcentral is "lncRNA (ENSZALG00000007966.1)". Lineage: Eukaryota; Metazoa; Chordata; Aves; Passeriformes; Passerellidae. The record is from RNAcentral.